This 110-nucleotide non-coding RNA is filed under the name Chloropicon mariensis. The record is from RNAcentral. Lineage: Eukaryota; Viridiplantae; Chlorophyta; Chloropicophyceae; Chloropicales; Chloropicaceae.
AGAACAAGAAGAAAACAAAAGUCAGUUCACAAAAAGCCUUUUCCCACUUCCCUCCCUCUUUUUUUUUCUUUUUUUUUUUCUUUCUCUCUUCACAUUUUCAAGAUUGUCAC